This is a long non-coding RNA of Phyllopteryx taeniolatus (common seadragon), 359 nucleotides long. RefSeq lists it as uncharacterized. Lineage: Eukaryota; Metazoa; Chordata; Actinopteri; Syngnathiformes; Syngnathidae. The transcript is spliced from 3 exons. The record is from RefSeq and is a predicted model, not a curated record.
GAUGUUUGCAGCGGGACAUGACGUGGAGUAAGAGCUGGAGUCCCUUCUCAGGUGAAUCCACGGCAGAGUGAGGUCGGGCUGAGUGGACUCGGUGUCCAAGCCCCCCUGGUCAACACCCAGGAGAACACCUGGGGAAGGCCACGGCCCAGUGUGCCCUGUGGCCGCCGCGCUGGCAGGGCUCGUGGUUGUAGUCUUCAUCAUAUCUGGAUGGCAAGUGUCAAGUUGGGUCACUGGAGUGCCUGCUGGGAGAGGCUCCAGUUCAAGCGCGACUCUAAUGAGGACAAGAGCUAUAUAGAAAGUGGAUGGAUAUAUAUGUCUCCUUUAAGGUAUGCACACUACACAUAUACUGUAAUGUUUAU